RNAcentral lists this long non-coding RNA (609 nucleotides) under Mus musculus (house mouse). Its description in RNAcentral is "predicted gene 29154, transcript variant 4 (Gm29154)". The record is from RNAcentral. Lineage: Eukaryota; Metazoa; Chordata; Mammalia; Rodentia; Muridae.
UGAACAUUCCAGGCUCUGUGAACUAAGUGACUGAAGCUGAUUGACACAGGUCAAGGGGACUUCAAGGAAGAAAGCCAGCCUUAGACUGACAUCAGAGAACCAAACUCCGGUGUCUAAGCUCAAGCCUUGCGUGGAUGAAACAGUCCCAACGAACACUUUAAAAAGACAAAUGUUCCCGACAGCACUGGUUGAAUUCAAAACUCGGCAGAUCCAUGUUCUUAUCCUUAGACAAGAGAGGGGCCAUAACAAGAUGGAAUGACGGAACAGACGUGAGAGAUGAUGGUACAGUGACUCGGGUAACCCCAGAAAAGGGACAGCUCUUCUACAGCUCAGUGGGGACAGGGACAAAAAGAAACAAUUUCAUUUCAGUCCACCCAGAGGGUCUGCACUUCUCGGAGCCAGAAGGUGGAGAAGAGUAGGGAUGGAGGAAGUUCGAAGUUUUAGGAGUCUGCUCUUGGGUCCCUAGGCAUGAGGACAAGCUUUUCCUGUACUCAAUGCUCAUCUCUCAGUUGUGCCCACAUUGGUACACAUUACUUGCUUUCAACUGCUGCUGCUGCUGUUUCCUAAUUCAAUAAAGAUAUGGCUGGCUCAGCAGAGAGCUGUCAUCCA